GAUGAACGCUAGCGACAGGCCUAACACAUGCAAGUCGAGGGGCAGCACGAAGUAAGCUUGCUUACUUUGGUGGCGACCGGCGCACGGGUGCGUAACAGGUGUGCAAUCUGUCCAUAAUCGGGGAAUAGCCCAGCGAAAGUUGGAUUAAUGCUCCAUGUGAGUAAUAGAGGCAUCUCUUUUAUUUGAAACGUAAGGAUUAUGGGUGAGCACGCUUCUGAUUAGGUAGUUGGUGAGGUAACGGCUCACCAAGCCGACGAUCAGGUAGGGGUUCUGAGAGGAACGGUCCCCCACAUUGGAACUGAGACACGGUCCAA
RNAcentral lists this ribosomal RNA (314 nucleotides) under uncultured bacterium. RNAcentral describes it as "bacterial SSU rRNA". It matches the Rfam family "Bacterial small subunit ribosomal RNA", at positions 28 to 334 of the family's 1533-position model. The record is from RNAcentral.